RNAcentral lists this non-coding RNA (23 nucleotides) under Arabidopsis thaliana (thale cress). Lineage: Eukaryota; Viridiplantae; Streptophyta; Magnoliopsida; Brassicales; Brassicaceae. The record is from RNAcentral.
GGAUCCCUCGCGGGUGCACCGCC